Molecule: ribosomal RNA, 443 nt
Filed under: Monodonta labio
Lineage: Eukaryota; Metazoa; Mollusca; Gastropoda; Trochida; Trochidae
Description: partial 16S rRNA
Rfam family: Bacterial large subunit ribosomal RNA
Source: RNAcentral
CCCUAACCGUGCAAAGGUAGCAUAAUCAUUUGCCUUUUAAUUGAAGGCUUGUAUGAAUGGUUUGACGAGGGCUAAGCUGUCUCUUUUGAAAUAUUUAGAAAUUAACUUUUAGGUGAAGAGGCCUAAAUUUGGCUGAGGGACAAGAAGACCCUGUUGAGCUUUAGUUUUAUACUGAAUGGGUUAUUAUGAAUGAUAUUUGUAAUAAGCGUGGACCUAGGUGUAAUGGGAUUUCAGUAUGAAUCUUUAGUUGGGGCGACUGAGGAACAGUUAGAGCUUCCUUUGGUUCUGAAGGGCGAGUGUGUGCUCAAAAUGGUGUAUUCUUGCAGGUUGUUUUGAUCCAGUAAGAUACUGAUUAAAGGAAAAAGUUACCACAGGGAUAACAGCGUAAUCUUUCUGGAGAGAUCUUAUCGAAAGGAGGGUUUGCGACCUCGAUGUUGGACUAA